Hipposideros armiger (great roundleaf bat) is the source of this 516-nucleotide long non-coding RNA. RefSeq lists it as uncharacterized. The transcript is spliced from 3 exons. The record is from RefSeq and is a predicted model, not a curated record. NCBI's taxonomy places the organism in Eukaryota, Metazoa, Chordata, Mammalia, Chiroptera, Hipposideridae.
UCUACUCACAGUUUUCUGAAUGGAAAUCAGGAACAAACUGCUCAUCACUAUCUGGUACCUGAGCUGCAGAGAGAGGUCAGAGGGUCUGGCUCAGAAUAAACACUCAACGCAUUACUUGUUGGCUCUGUGAAUACACAAACGAUGACCCCUGUCCUCAGACUUGUGGGAGCCAGCAUGGUGGGCCUGAGGGCAAGAAGUGAAGCGAUCCUGACCAGCCAGCUCUUCCCUCACCCUGAAGGCACCCCCUCCCUCUCCACCACCAGCCCCACCAGCGACACCCUCAGGCUCCACCAAAACACACCAAUGAAUCCAACCAGAAGACCCCCCCCCCAGAACACACUUCUCCACGGAGCCAAGGCCGAGCUACUGACCCCACCCCAGCCAGCUUGCAGCUACAGCUAACCUCACGCAAACAAGAGGGGGAAUAUGCCUGGGGUGGAGGAAUUCAGGAGGAAAGGAGGGAUCAGUUCCAUCAGAAUUACAAUCAAGACUAUUGGGGUGUAGGGGGGGCCCUAA